This 5933-nucleotide long non-coding RNA is filed under the name Zea mays. RNAcentral's name for it is "long non-coding RNA (ZMAY_LNC000119)". The record is from RNAcentral. Lineage: Eukaryota; Viridiplantae; Streptophyta; Magnoliopsida; Poales; Poaceae.
GCCACAUAACUUUUCGCAGCACUUGUGGUUGCCGAUUCGGCCGCCACAAACUUGAGACCCGCCACACUUCUCUAGGGCGCCAGCGCCGGCCCUAGCACCUCCACUGCAACUCCCUUGAUACUUGGACCACCGGAUCUGAUGCUGGCUGUCGACUGCCAUUAGAAGGUGAGCUCGUUCCCAAUCUGCAUGAUGCGCCUCCUCGCCUGUGUUUCGUCCUUCAGUUCACCUAUUGCGGGCUCGCCUGGUCGGUGGUUGCCGGCGCUAGCAUCAGACUGCGUGCCGAAUCAGCUCAGCAGAGGGAUCGAGCGUCGUAGUGCCUUCUUGUCGUAGUUGUCUUCUGACGCCUUGUCCUAGAUCUGGCCGGUUGCCAUGGACGUGUUUGUAGAAUGCUGGAAUAGGGACAGAGAGCAGUUGCAGCUUGUCCCCAGUCUUUCUCAGAUCAGGGGCUUAGGUAGUCCGGCCACAUAUCAGUAUUUGGCAUUUGAUAAAUCGAGUACUAUUUCAUAUUUGCUUUUAUUUCAAUUGCUGCAGCUAGACAACAUGAUUUUUACCUUGCUGCAAUAGAUUUCUAGUUAGAGUAUAGCAUAUUCAGUAGGAGACCAUCAUUAAUAUUUUCUUCAUCUUUUUCAAGGACUUGUUGCAAGCUGAGGGCACCAGGAGACCCUUGUUUGCUACUGCUCAAGGUACGUGAGCACAAACAGUUAGAUUGCAUUUUUCUAGAUUGGUUCAAACAAUUCCUAAAUCCAUUAAUCUGUCGAGUGUGUAAAGAAAAUGGAGCCCGAACCAUUUGGCUAAUUGAGUUUUCGUGUUUGAUGAACAACACAAUCCGUGAACUAAUAAGUUAUCUAGUGUUUAUGUUUGUAGUUCACAGGAUGCGUUGAGGAUUGGACCAAGGAAAUGAGGAUGCAACACCUCAAAAGAAGUCAUAAAAAGAUGCAUAGAAGUCCAAGACUCAAGAACAAAAGAAGCCCAAAGAAAUCAGCGAAGAAACCUGAGAAGAGGGCUGUCAGCCAGCGACUGGUGACGCACCGGACAGUGCAUAGUACCUGUCCGGUGUGCACCGGACUGUCCGGUGGGACAACCGGACAGUCUGCGCAGAGAGGCCGAAGUCAGGCGCUCUCGGGCUGUAGCACCGGACUGUCCGGUGUGCGGCAACGGUCAGAUCCAACGGUGGACUGCUACAGCUGCCAACGGUCGGCUGACGUGGCGUGCACCGGACACUCCACAGUAGCUGUCCGGUGGUGCACCGGACUGUCCGGUGCACCCGACGACAGAAAGUUGCUGCUUUCUGUCCAACGGCUAGUUUGGGGUGUGGAGGCUAAUACCACCCCAACCGGCCAUUCUCUAGUGUGGGAGCCCAAGCAACAUACCAAGACACAUAGUGCAUAUUUCCAAGAGUUCAAACACCCAAGUGCUUAAUAGAAUCACUCGGUGAUUAGUGUAGGUGCUUUUGCGAAGUGCUUAGGCUAGUUAGACCGCUCUAGCGCUUGCUAUAGGUGAACCCUAGAUUGUUGAGUGAGUUUAGACAAACCUCACAACCCCUCGGCUCUUGCGUGAGCCGUAGUAAUUGUACCGAGUGGGGCGAGAGUCUUGCGAGACCGUGACAACCGCGUUUGUGUCACGGCCGCCACCGUGUACCGGAGGGAACGAGGCCCGCGGCGUUUCGGCCGGAAGCUCGUUAGUGGAGACGGCGGGGAGCGUCCGAGAGGAGCCGAAAGCGGAGCACCACUUGCGCGUGGAGAAGGCCCGUGUCUCUCUACGGAGUUACUCGACCGAGGUGCUUGGCCCUCGCGUGGGCUUCCCUUUGCGUAGGGGCACCAACGAGGAUUAGUCAGGACCUUGCGCAGUUCCGGAUACCUCGGUAAAAAUACAGGUGUCAUCCACGAGAGUUUGCUUCUCUACUUUGCUCUUUAAGUUUUCGCAUUUAUAUUAAGCAUUUAAGUUUCAAUCUUGUAUACAUACUUAUUUAGUGUAGAUUGAAACUUAGCCAUUGCGGUAGAGAUAGCAACACUUAGACAAAACCUAGUUUGCACAUUCUAUUUUGAUUAUUUGCAUAGGUUUUGCUCUAGGGAUUUAAUUGUGGCCUAGUUUAGUAAAAGUUUUAGAAGUCCUAAUUCACCCCCCUCUUAGGCGUCACCCGUUUCCUACAAGUGGUAUCAGAGCCUGGUUUGGCUCAUUUGAAACGCUUUAGCUUCACCGCUAAAAGAGCCGACGCUUUUUAGAGGAAGGGAUGCAUACCCAUAGGCCACCACACUUCGACGACACUAACUUCCCAUAUUAUAGUGCUAGAAUGGCUUGUUACUAGAGGUCGUUGAUCUAGGUGUUUGGAGAGUCACUCGUGACGGGAUGAAACCCUCCAAGAAUCCCGAGAAACCCACCACGAGUGAGGAAAAAGAAAUUCAUUUAAAUGCUAGAGCCAAAAAUUGCUUGUAUGAAUCUCUUAGCAUGGACAUUUUUAAUCAAGUAUUUACUUUGAAAACUGCUAAUGAGAUUUGGCUAAAAUUGCAUGAGCUCCUUGACGGCACAUCCAAUGUCCGUGAGCAAAAACAUUGCCUAGUCUUAAAUGAAUAUAAUACUUUUGCUAUGAGAGAUGAUGAGCUUGUUAGAGACAUGUAUUCUCGUUUAAAUCUAAUUAUCAAUGAGCUCAACUCUAUUGGCAUUAAUAAGCUAGGUGAUGCGAACAUUGUGAGGAAGAUUAUCUCCCUGCUACCACAAUGAAGAUAUGGGAGCAUCAUCACCAUCCUUCACAACAUGGAGGACUUGAGCAACAUGACCCCGACCAUUGUGAUUGGGAAAAUCGCGGCUUUUGAGAUGUCGCGAAAAAUGUGUCGGGGAGAGGAGCCAACUUCCUCAAGGCCAUUUGCUUUUGCAUGUGAUGAAAGGAAGGGCAAAAAGAAGGCUCCCACUCCAAGUUCCUCAAGUGAAGAAGAGGAAAAAGAAGAAAGUGAUGAUGAUGAAGAUAAUCAACCAUGCACAUCAUCCUCCAAGGACGAAGAAACAAUCUGACGCGUCGGAAAGGUAAUGGGGAUGAUCCGCAAGAUUAAUCUAAUGGGUGUGCCCCUGCAGGUCGAAGAUCUUCUCUUUAAUAUUGACAGGAAAAAGCAAAGGAAGAGAGGAUGCUUCGCAUGUGGGGAGAAGGGCCACUUCAGGGACAACUGUCCAAAUAUGGCCGAACCCAAGAAGGGGAGGAGCAAAGGCAAGGCGCUAACAAGUGUUAGAACUUGGGAUGACUCUUCAAGUGAAGAUGAACCUCCAAGGACGCGCAGUCACCGGUCCUCAUCACGCUCAUCACGGUCAUCACACAAAUGCCUUAUGGCAAAAGGUAACAAAAGCAUUCCAUCCUCUAGUGAUGAAAGUAGUAGUGAUGAUGAAGGUGAGGGAAAGCCUUCCGUAGAUGAGCUUGCGGAAGCCAUAGAAUUUUUCCAGGAUGUUUGCACUAAGCAAAAAGCUCAACUUAAAACUUUGAAAAUAAGUUGACUAGCUCCCAAAAUGAUUACAAAGGUUUGCUAGAAAAAUUUGAAACUUUUGCAAACUUAAAUGGUGAACUGUCAACUAAAAUUGAGCUAUUAGAGUCUAGUGCUCCAUCCAUUGCUACCGAUGAUGGCCUUAUUAAAAAGAAUGAAAAACUUAAGGCUAAGUUAGCUAGCUCUCAAGAAGCUAUUGAAAACUUGCUAGAGAAAAUGGAAAUUCUUAGCAUACACAAUGAUGAGCUAACUACUAAGCUAGAAAACAUUGGUAGCACCCUAGGAGCAUCUUUAGUUGAAAUUCCUGAAAUUAUUAAGAAAGAUGCUUCUACUUCUUGCUUUGAUUUAAUUGAUGACUCUAACCCCUGCAACCAAGUUCUUGUUGAGAAUAUUGUUGUAGAAACAUGUUCGGACGAGGUUGCAAAGGAAAAUGAACAAUUAAGGCAAGAAGCGGCUCGCCUUGGUAAGGCUUUGUAUGACAAGAAAGGCAAAGCCAAACAAAUCCGACCUCCAAAGGAUAACACCACUACGGGAGUGAACAAGCCUAUGGAGGUAGAAACCGUGAUUUGUAGGCUAUGCCACAAGGAAGGCCACAAAUCUUUCCAAUGCAAGGCGAUGACCGGGGAUAGGCAAAAGCAAAAGCUCAAGCAAAAGCCAACAAGCAAAAUCUCCAACACCUACAUAAAAAAGGUGGACAAAAAGACUGCUACACCAUAUUUGAUCAAGAAGAAAAAGAAUGGAAAGGUGAUAGCAAUCAAGGCCAACAAGCAAGCCAACAAAGAAAAGGGGGGCAAACGCAUCUGGGUGCCAAAGGAAAUAAUUUCAACCAUGAAAAGCACCAAGAAGGUUUGGAUCCCGAAAGGGAAGUGAGUGGACCAAAGGUCAUCGGGAAAUUUGGAGACUUGGCUAAGCUGGGAUGUAUAUCAUGGGAUACAUCAUAUUGGAUCAAGUUUUAUUGCCAAGUGGGUUAGUGAAAAUUUUGGACCCAAAUUUCCCACCCAUGACUAAGGUAACUAGAUUUAUUGUAUUUCUUGUUUUAAGAUAUGCGUAUCUAUUUACUUUGUAUCUAGUUUACUUUUCAUGCCUAGUAUUACAUUUUGGUAUUUACUUUUGUUUAAAUGCAUGCAUACUAGGUAAAUCAUAUGGUAGGAUUGCUUGCUUUCAAUUCAUACUCUUAAGCAAACCUACAUGUCUUAAAAUGUUUAUUUAAGCAUGGCACAUAGCUUCAAUUUCACUCCAUAGUAAAUGAUGCACCAAUUAAUAACUCUCAUUUCUACAAGUUGUAUCAUUUGACUUAUAUGUGCCAAAGUUUGGAUUAUGGAUAAUUUGCCCCUCUUGAUGUCAAAUCAAAAGUGCAUGUCUCCUUCAAGUAUUCAGAAACUUGUAUGUACACCUUUAGGGGGAGGUUACUCUAUAAUCUGACACUUUGAGACUAACACCUUUUCAAGUCUAUUUCAUGUGAUAGUCUCAUUGUAAGGAAAAUAAGGUCCCCAGAGAAAGACAACAAUCUUCCACUGCAAAAUCUCCAAGAACUCUCAUGUCUCUCAAGCUCACCGUUGAAUCUCAAUCGGUAUCUUUUGAGACUACAUCUAGUAUCAGUUACAUGUCUUCUCCAAUAUUUGUCUAGACUGUAUUUCAUAUCAUAUACUUCCAUGUUGCUAAAAAUGCAUAAGCAGUUAUCUCAUACUCUGUUACCUAUGCAUAGAGGAAGUUAGUCUAUUCAAAUCAUGUUUUGCACCUUAAAUUUUUUUCACAUGCUUUUUUCCUAAGUAGAAGAUCUCUGUCAGGGGGAGUAUUUCUUUGUCUCUAAAAAGGGAGAAACGCUCUUUCCAAAAGAGAACACUCAUUUAGGGGGAGUAAUCUUUUGAGGGCAAGCCUUUUAUUUACUUCCUACAUGCUUUCAAUGUCUUCCUUUUCGGUGGUUGAUGCCAAAGGGGGAGAAGUGUAGGGACCAAAGCAACGAAAACUAGAUCAAACACCAAACACCACCAAUUUAAAAUUUUAAUCCCCAAAUGGUUUUUCAAGUGGUUUUGGUUAUUUGGUCCAAAAUAGGAAGUAAGUGAAUUAUGGAGUUAGGGGGAGGCUUAAGUCCAUAAUAUCACUUUGAGGGGACAAUUAUGCAUCCUAGCAAGUAGAUUGCAUAUUUACAUUCAAAUAUUUGUAUUAUUUGCUUGCUUUGGUUGUGUUGUUAUCAAUCACCAAAAAGGGGGAGAUUGUAAGGAAAAUGGACCCCGGGCCAUUUGGCUAAUUGAGUUUUGGUGUUUGAUGAACAACACAAUUCGUGAACUAAUAAGUUCUCUAGUGUUUAUGUUUGUAGUUCACAGGAUGCGUUGAGGAUUGGACCAAGGAAAUGAGGAUGCAACACCUCAAAAGAAGUCAUAAAAAGAUGCAUAGAAUUCCAAGACUCAAGAACAAAAGAAGCCCAAAGAAAUCAGCGAAGAAACCUGAGAAGAGGGCUGUCAGCCAGCG